UUUAACUGAAGAGUUUGAUCAUGGCUCAGAUUGAACGCUGGCGGCAGGCUUAACACAUGCAAGUCGAGCGGAGUGAUGGUGCUUGCACUAUCACUUAGCGGCGGACGGGUGAGUAAUGCUUAGGAAUCUGCCUAUUAGUGGGGGACAACAUUUCGAAAGGAAUGCUAAUACCG
RNAcentral lists this ribosomal RNA (173 nucleotides) under Acinetobacter sp. yr461. RNAcentral describes it as "16S rRNA. Bacterial SSU". It matches the Rfam family "Bacterial small subunit ribosomal RNA", at positions 1 to 171 of the family's 1533-position model. Lineage: Bacteria; Pseudomonadati; Pseudomonadota; Gammaproteobacteria; Moraxellales; Moraxellaceae. The record is from RNAcentral.